RNAcentral lists this ribosomal RNA (403 nucleotides) under uncultured bacterium. RNAcentral's name for it is "bacterial SSU rRNA". It matches the Rfam family "Bacterial small subunit ribosomal RNA", at positions 29 to 416 of the family's 1533-position model. The record is from RNAcentral.
AACGAACGCUGGCGGCGUGCCUAACACAUGCAAGUCGUGCGAGAAAGUUCCUUCGGGAGCGAGUAAAGCGGCGCACGGGUGAGUAACACGUAGGUAACCUGCCCCCAGUCUGGAACAACUAGAGGAAACUCUAGCUAAUGCCGGAUGAGACCACGAUCCCUUCGGGGGGUUGCGGCCAAAGAUGGCCUCUACUUGUAAGCUAUCGCUGAGGGAUGGGCCUGCGGGCCAUUAGCUUGUUGGUGAGGUAACGGCUCACCAAGGCUGUGAUGGCUAGCUGGUCUGAGAGGAUGACCAGCCACACUGGGACCGAGACACGGCCCAGACUCCUACGGGAGCAGCAGUGGGGAAUAUUGCGCAAUGGGCGAAAGCCUGACGCAGCGACGCCGCGUGGGUGAUGAAGGCC